ACGCUCGACAUCUACGGGAGGCCGCAGUGGGGAAUAUUGCACAAUGGGGGAAACCCUGAUGCAGCAACGCCGCGUGAAGGAAGACGGUUUUCGGAUUGUAAACUUCUGUUCUUAGUGAAGAUAGUGACGGUAGCUAAGGAGCAAGCCACGGCUAACUACGUGCCAGCAGCCGCGGUAAUCUGAGGCGGGCUGGACAAGGC
RNAcentral lists this ribosomal RNA (200 nucleotides) under uncultured bacterium. RNAcentral's name for it is "partial 16S ribosomal RNA". It matches the Rfam family "Bacterial small subunit ribosomal RNA", at positions 328 to 538 of the family's 1533-position model. The record is from RNAcentral.